GCUAGGCAUGGUGACACAUGCCUGUAAUCCCAGAGACUUGGGAGGCUGAGGCAGGAGGAUUGCCAGUUCAAAGCUAGCCUGGGCAAUUUAGUGAGACCUUGUGUCAG
RNAcentral lists this small RNA (107 nucleotides) under Marmota monax (woodchuck). The record is from RNAcentral. Lineage: Eukaryota; Metazoa; Chordata; Mammalia; Rodentia; Sciuridae.